Non-coding RNA from Tulasnella calospora MUT 4182, 92 nucleotides. The record is from the annotation of a GenBank genome assembly. NCBI's taxonomy places the organism in Eukaryota, Fungi, Basidiomycota, Agaricomycetes, Cantharellales, Tulasnellaceae.
GGGGUUCUAGCUCAUCGGUAGAGCGCUCCCUUAGCAUGUCGGUCACGGGCUAUGCAUGGGAGAGGCGCGGCGUUCGAUUCGCCGGUACUCCA